RNAcentral lists this long non-coding RNA (1021 nucleotides) under Fragaria vesca (wild strawberry). RNAcentral describes it as "long non-coding RNA (FVES_LNC004331)". The record is from RNAcentral. Lineage: Eukaryota; Viridiplantae; Streptophyta; Magnoliopsida; Rosales; Rosaceae.
AGUCCAAAUCAAACAUAGGUAGAAAAUCGGUGAAAUAACAAAGACAAUGCAACUUAUCAACUACGUGUAUCAAAGUCGAACUUUGGAUGAUUAACACAUGCAAUAUCAACUACUUGUAUCAACUUCAUAUGAUAAUGGAAAAAUGCACCGAAAAUCUUAAAGUAUAAAGAACAUAAUACUCACGGCAUAAGAAAACCUAAAUCAUUGAAUUAAAAAUUGAAAAACUUUAAUUACAAAACAUGGUUACAAAAGUACUUCUAUCUCAUAGACAAGAAUCGAAGCAUACUUAAGACAAAUACCUAAAGCAAACAUAAACGAAAACAAACACAUAGCAAUCCGAAAAUAGAAGAUGAAAUACACUCUCAAAAUAUCCCUACUUGUUCUAUUCUUCGAGUGCGCGGAGUCCUAGGCUACUUGCUUUGGACGAAUGCUGAAGGUGGGAUCGGAUUGUGGUGUUUGGAGGUUGAUGGAGUUUCGGCAAAGGCUUUGGUGUUAUUUGCACGGGUUGAUGAUCAUCUUCUGUCCUUGAAGUCGUGCUUUAUAUAGAGGAAAAACCCUAGAGAAGUCGGCCACAAAGCCUAAACCAAAUUGGUUUAGGAUUCCUAGUUUUUCUCCCUUUCGGCAGAAUGACCUCCGUCUGAUGAUUGCGUCAUAACUCCCUCUAGAAAACAGAUAUUGAGGUGAUUCCAAUUGAUUUGGAAACUAGACUCCCGUAGCUUUCUAUCCAUAUUUGGCACGUUUUCUGAUUCAUUGUGAGCUGUCCUGGAGAGUCCGUUGAAGUUGACAGACGUGCACAGGAAUUCUCCCGAUUUAAUCCGGAUUUUCAAGGGCUUGGAUAUUCUUGAAAUUCUGCCGAAUUUAGAUCUUCUUCUCCAUAUUGGACUUGGUUUGGAUCUCUCCUUCAUGGACUAGGCUUCGAGGAAAGAUGGAAUCUUGAUCAAGACAGGAAUCCUGAGUAAACAAGGAGUUCCAACACUUAGCACAAUUUCAACACCAAAUUCUUCAAUUCCGAAAUUACUAU